UUUGCUGGUGUUGGGCUUGUUCCUGGGGAUUACCGCGCAUCGCCGCUUGGAGCAGCGCGGGGUCUUGGCGUGGAGGUGCAGGGACGCGAUCUUGGUGCGCCGGCGCUGGGAGCGUGCGAGCACCUUCUUGGGGAUGAGGGAUCUCUUGGCAGCUCCUUUCUUACUGCGCAGGCGCCAGACGCGAAGGGUCUAGCCUUGGGGCUGCGUGCCUUGGAGCCAGGGCGCCUUCUUGGGGAGGAGGUGGUGGAAGCACCUCCUGAUCCUCGCCUCCUGGGCGGAAUGGAGGGCGAGGCAGUGAGAGGGACAGCAAGGGGGAGCCCCUGCGGCGCUGACGAGCUCGGUGAUGCGGGCGAGCCAGUCCUCGUAGAGGUCGUUGAUGGGGCGCUAGUGCAAGAGCUCUCUUGCCAGGAGCAGCACGGCGUGUGCAUCCGUGGGGGCACGACGGGCGUGGGACGACGAGGCGGCUGGAGUUAGCGACGGUGUGGUGGUGCGGCCCUCCUGCCACACCGAAGGAUGCUAGGACGAGGCCUGCUGCUCGUUCCCCAUCGGGCCGGUGGCGGCAUUGGCGGCAGGCGACGGGGAACGACGAGGACGUCCGCCGAUGGGUGCCGUCUUGGCGACGCGGGCAGCGAGAGCAGCCCGACGCUCGGCGUGAGCCCGGUGAGCGUCAGCCAUGGAUACGACGGAAGAUCGCACGCGAACAGCGAAAGAAAGAAAGAUUCCGGCGUACCCCUACCUGGCGUGCCAAAUGUCAGAUUUCGGGUUCCGGUAGACCCUUGAGGUUCAAACACUGGGGUGCGCGCGAAGAUCUCUCCCCUACCGAUCUAGUCCAAUCUCCUCGCAUGAUCUAAACUGGAAACAACGAGCAACAUAAGGGACACGAGGUUUAUACUGGUUCGGGCCACCAUCGUGGUGUAAUACCCUACUCCAGUGUGUGGUGUGGUGGAUUGCCUCAGGGGCUGAUGAUGAACAGUACAAGGGAAGAACAGCCUCGCGAGAGGUGUUCUUGAGCUGAUGCGAUGAACUGCUUUGGUGAGUUCAGUCGCCUUUCUCUCUCUCUCUGCUAGAGCUCUACCAGAUCUCUAGAUGUCUAGGUGUGUCCCUCUCCAUGUCCCCCCUCCACUCUGUGGUGGCUAGCUCUAUUUAUAGAGGCCCUGGGCCUCUCCCCAAAUAAUGAGCAGGAAGGGCGCCAACAAUUGGUCGUUUUGAAGGGGAACAUCUAGUACAAGUUAUCCUGACCAAAGGUGGUCUUCGGCUGCCAAAAGCACUGGUGAUGACGCCGUCUUGGGCUCCACGGUGACCUCUGUCCUGCCGCUCUGUUGGUCUUGGUCUCGUUGCACCGGAAUGGUAAUCUUUGCCCGAUGCCUUGGCCUGUGCUUGCCCCUUUGCACCAAAGGGGAAAUAAGGACACUGCGCAGGCCGGCGCCCGCCUAGUCUCGAUCGUCAUGGCUUGCGUCACGGGCUCCUCGUGAGGUACCCCUGCCUUGAUCUCUCUGCCUCCUCGCGAGCCUGCCUGAUGAGGCUACCUCUGAGGAAGUUUUCUGUUGUCCGCCCCGCGAGGCUUGGCCCCUCGCGAGGGUCUUGAGCUUGAGCUGAUGAAAACAGGCCGCGAUGGGCCCCCACUUGAGCCAUGCCACAGACCACAGGAAGGCAAGUCUGGGGACCCCCGUUCCCAGAACACCGACAAACGUGUCAAGAAAACCGCCUCGCGAUAUGUGCGGUGCUGGUUGAGAAAAACGGUUUGAAUAAUGACCGGGCCGUGGUGUAAUGUCAUGCUGUCAAAACAUAUCAUCAGAUUAGAUUUGUGGAAAUAUUAUUCUCUCUAUAGUGGUAUGUGGAACUUAUUUUUCAGGGCCGGACACUAUUCUUGUGUUUAAACUCUUCCAUGGAGUAUUCGAAGGAGGAACCCACCUUGCAAUGCCGAAGACAAUACUGCGCGUCGGACUCAUCAUCAUUGAAGCCUGGUUCAGGGGCUACUGAGGGAGUCCUAGAUUAGGGGGUCUCCGGACAGUCGAACUAUAUCCUUUGGCUGGACUGUUGGACUAUGAAGAUACAAGAUUGAAGACUUCGUCCCGUGUCCGGAUGGAACUCUACUUGGCGUGGAAGGCAAGCUAAGCAAUACGGAUAUGUAUAUCUCAUCCCUUGUAACCGACCUUGUGUAACCCUAACCCCCUCCGGUGUCUAUAUAAACCGGAGGAUUUUAGUCUGUAGGACAACAGACAAUCAUACCAUAGGCUAGCUUCAAGGGUUUAGCCUCUCUGAUCUCGUGGUAGAUCAACUCUUGUAAUACUCAUAUCAUUAAGAACAAUCAAGCAGGAUGUAGGGUAUUACCUCCAUCAAGAGGGCCCGAACCUGGGUAAACAUCGUGUCCCCUACCUCCUGUUAUCAUCCUCCCUAGACGCACAGUUCGGGACCCCCUACCCGGGAUCCACCGAUUUUGACACUGACACGGGGGCGCGUCAGCGCACCCACUGGGUGUAGCCCCCGAGAUUCGGGCCGACCGACUAGUUUGUCUUCUUCUUCGCUGGGACGCGUCAGCGCACUUGCUGGGUGUAGCCCCCGAGAUUCGGGCCGGCUGCUGAGCAGUCGGGCCGGAUCUCCCGGCGACUAGUUUGUCUUCUUUCUUCUUCUCUUUGUCCGGUUGUUGAUAGCCGGACGUAAAAAAAAUUCUCGUCAGCCAGACGUAUAGGCUACUCUCUCUCUAUUUAUUUCUCAUAGUCGGCCUCUCUCUCUCUAUUUGGACAGCCGGCAGCUCUUUUUCAUCCGGCCCCAUUUCUUCUCUUUUUUUCAGCAAGCCGGUGACAGGUAGUCGGCCGUUGACUUGGACAGCCGGCCUCUUAUUCUUCCUUACUUUUCAGCCGGCCUCUGUUUUUCUCUUCGGGCACUCAGUCGUAGCAGGCGGCUAGACCUGGAGCGCAGCAGCCGGCGGCAGGGGAGGCCGAGCCUGGUGGUGGGCGGGGCCGGCCGUCCGGGUGCGGAGGCGGCAGUGCACGGCGGGGCGUAGGGCUGCAGCCGCAGGGGCCGGGAUGCGGGAGGCCAACAUGGCAGGGGCAGGAACCCAGCAUGGGGAUGGCGGGGGAGCCCGCGCGGAGCUGGACUGGCGCGGCCGGUGCGCGCGGACCCGGCAGGGUCGAGGCGGAUGCGAUGGAGCCGACAGGCGCGCGGGGCCGGAGCCGCCGCCGCAGCCGGCCGGCCGGCCUGCGAGCAGAGGGGCGGACGCGGCGAAGCGGCACGAAGCCGGUAGGCGUUGCGGAGCGUGGAACUGGAGCGGGGAACAGUCGGGCACGACCGAGCCGUGGGAGGCCGACCGCGAGGGCCGGAGCCGCAAGGCGGGGCAGCGGUGGCGGACGCGCACGAGUGGCCGGAAGGGGCCAGAGGCGCGAGGCAACGCAGGCAGCCCGCCGGCCCACCGAAGCGACUGGCUGCAGCCGGGCGCGCGUGAGGUGGACCCAGGCGGCGACGGCGUAGAGGGCGGGGGCGCCGGCGACCGGCGGCCGGGUGCAGCAGGAGGCGGCCGGGCUCAGCGGCGAGGCGGAGCCGGACGGGGCUGUGCGGGAGGCUGGGUGGAGCCACGAGCCGGCGGGUGCAGGAGUCGGUCGGCGCAAGGAGGCGGCCAUGGUCGGACGCGGAGGCGGCCACAGGCGGAGGCGGAGCCGGCGAGCGCGGUGGCGGCCGGAGCAAAGGCCGAGCCGGCGCACGCCGCGAGCCUGACGCACCCACAGACGGAGCAGUCGAGCCUGUUGGCAGGACGCAGGCAUGUCGUCUCGGGAGCGGAGGCGCUCGGACGGAGCGACGCCAGGAGGCAACGGGGGCGCAUCAAGAUGGAGCGGAGCGGAGACCAGCCGGAGCAUGUGCGCGCACGCGCGGGCCGAGCGAAGCGGAGGCGAGCCGGUGUAUGUGUUGCAUAAAGGCAAUGUUUGACUUUGAUUGACUGAUGCAUGGUUAGCUUAGGACUGAUGUAUGAGCAUUGUAGGACUUGCAUCUAGAAAACGUAUAAGCGGGGUGGCAGGUAGCAACGGAAACAUCGCAGCACAGCGACGGAGUCGCCGGCCGGAGCAACGACGAGGCUCACUCGUCCGGCGAGUCACACACGCGCACACGAACUAAGCUAGCUAGCGAAGCUAGUACGCACACUGCUGCAGCCAAAUUCAUCGUGUUCGCUAGCUAGUCGUGCACGAACGCGUGUAUGCACAGAAACCGGAGGUGCUCGGGACAGCCGCGGAGCAGAGCGGAGCUGCGAGCAUGCAGAACGAGGGCAGAUGACGACGACGACGGGCCGUCUAGCACGGUCACGCCAGGGGCAUGAUGAUGUCGAGCCCCCUACCGGUGCCGGAGAGACGGCGGUGACGUCGCGGUGAUGAUGAAGAUGGCGAGGCCAACGGCAAGGACGCGCCGCCCUCGCGGCCACUCUGGGGGCAUGUCAAUGUCGAGCCCCGGCCGCUAUUAGAGAGACGGCACGCCACCGCGGCGAUGAAGACGAAGAUGGUCCCGCCCGGACUACGAAACCAGCAGCAGCACGGUAGCAUAGUACCGUCCCACGGUGGGCGCCAACUGUCGUGGUAUUCUCACGGGGGGUGCAAGACGACAGAUGCCACAGGGUGGCUUAGUGUGAGGGCAGGGCUGCUGCUGAUAGGCCCGAGAGCGGGUAUGUGAGUAGCACGCGCUAGUUUAUCCAGGUUCGGGCCUCUCCGAAGAGAUAACACUCCUACUCCUGCAUGUUUGAGUAUAUCUGGUAUGUAUAUGUAGUACAGAGUUACUCCUGAAGCUGUAUUUGAAAGCAGUGCCACGGACAUCUGGUUUUAUAUAUGCAUGUAUGCGGCCUACUCUAGUGGCCGGCCAUGCCCAUGGCUUAUGGCCGUGAUCAUGUAUGUGCUCAUGCGUGAGUUCAUGUGAGAGUGGAUGGACAGACGGAUGGAUGCUAUAUAUAGUGAGGCUAGCUGAGUAUGUAAGCUAGCUAGUGGCAUGGGGGCAAGUGGGCAUGGUGGGUGGGUUUGGUUGUAAGCUACGUUGGAUAGCUUACAAACCAAGCCAUGUAUGAGGCAUGGUGCAUGUCAUGUUUGUUUCCUGGGGCAUUUUAUAAAUCAAUGCCCACGGGACACGGUACAUUGUAGAUGACGUUGCGGUACGGCCAUCUCGUCGGGGUUUUGUCAGUGUCGGGUCGGGGCUGCAGUCGGCAGCCGACUGGUUGGCUCAGUCGGCAGCCGGCAGCCGGCCAGGUAGCUAGCCGGCCGUGUGGAGCAGUCGGACGGGGAGCCGACAGGAGCGGCCGGGCAGUCGGACUGAGGGGCUUUGCUGGCCCCGAUGUCUUGAUUUAUUGUCUCGCCGUCCUCGGGGUACCCGUGGCAAAUUACUCCGACAAUGAAGGUGGCUCGUGAAUUAAAUGCGAAGCCACGCGUGAGGAAUAAGUUUAGAAACAGGGGUGUUGUUUUGGUAGUUGUUGCCAAAGGGGGCGAAAUUGUAUAGAUCAUUAGGCUUUCAGAGAGAGUGUCUCGCUUUUGCUCGUUGUUUUUUCUUGAGUUCUAGCUACUAUUUCCCUUGAUUUGUGGUACUUUGUUUGUUAUGUGUGUGAGAUACUAUGUUUGUGUCGUGUGAUUGAUCAUAAUAUGCUUCAUGUGAUGAUUAAUGCUUAUGUGACAUGGAGAUUGUAAGCCAACUAUUUAUUUAUCCUUGUUCUUGUACAUGCGAUUGUGUGAAGAUGACCCUUCUUACGACAAAACCAAAAUGCGAUUAUGCCUCUAAGUCGUGCCUCGAAACGUGGGAGAUAUAGCCGCAUCUUGGUCAUUACAGCUUAUCUCUAUCAUUAUUUGUGUAUGAUCAUUAACUUAUGUCUUUGGUGAUGCGUGCUUAUUAUUUCACUCAGAUCAUUUUGUGCGCUCCACCAAGUUGUAUAUGACAUGGAAGAGUGACUGUCGGUGUCAAAACCGGCGUAUCUCGGGUAGGGGGUCCCAAACUAUGCGUCUAAGGCGGAUGGUAACAGGAGGCAGGGAACACGAUGUUCUACCCAGGUUCGGGCCCUCUUGAUGGAGGUAAAACCCUAUGUCCUGCUUGAUUAAUAUUGAUGAUAUGGGUAGUACAAGAGUAGAUCUACCACGAAGAAAUACACCCAGGUGUACCUUGAGUAGUCAUCCACAAUCACCAAGCAAUACUUCCUACCUCCAAGACUAUCGAAAGAUGGAGGCCCAAAGAGAUCCAUGUGAAGGAGCUCCAAAGGCCUCUUCGAAUAAAUGAUCAUCGUGGGAGGGUGAGCCUUCUCAUGUAGCUUUCCUUCGAUACAGGCACUGCAAGCACGAUCUUUAGCAAAACUAACAUUUGUUAGUCCACGGACAUGGUCCCCCUUGAGGAGACUUUGCAAAGAUCUCAUAUUGACAUGGGCUAAACGACGAUGCCAAAGCCAUCCCACAUCAACUUUAGCCAUUAGGCACGUCGCGGUCUUAGUGGGUCGCUCCGAAAAGUUAAUCACAUAUAGACCAUUCUCGUCAUGCCCAACAAAGGCUACUUUAAGAGUCUUGCUCCACAAGAGGGCCACGGUAUCGAUAUCAAAGAAAGUGGCAAAGCCCAUGAUUGCAAGUUGAUGAACAGAAAGUAAAUUGUAUGCAAGGGACUCAACAAGCAUGACCUUCUCGAUCGUGAGAUCAUGAGAGAUGACCACCUUGCCAAGUCCCAAUACCUUAGAAGAUGAGGUGUCACCCCACUCGACAUUGGUGGGCAUAGAUGGAACCUUGUGCACGUCCACCACCAAGUCCUUGCUUCCGGUCAUAUGAUUUGUAGCUCCGCUAUCGAGCAACCAUGAUCCACCACCGGAAGCAAACACCUACAAGAGAUCAAUGCUUGGUUUUAGGUACCCAUUUUGUAAUGGGUCCUUUGAUGUUAGUAACAAGGGUCUUUGGAACCCAAAUAGACCAUUCAAUGUACUCAUGAAGAGAACCAACAAAUUUGGCAUAAACAUGCCCAUCACUAGCACGGCAUAACACAUAAGAAGGAUUAAAAUCGCCAGCUUUGUUGGGAGGGGUGACAUUGCCCUUCUUGACAUUGUUCUUCUUCUGCUCGGAGGCACUCUCUCCCUCCUUCACAAAGGUUUUCAUGAGAGGAGGAGGUCGUUUGGUCUUGUCAUUCUUCUUCUUGUUCUUGGAGUCGGGCACGUACCCAACCCCUUCCUUGGCCACAACCCCCCUUUGGUUGAUCAAGAGAUUGUUGAGGUUCUUCUUGCCUUGUAUGCAAGUUGCAAGACCUCUCUCAAGUUGUCCUUUUAGCUUAGAGUUCUCCUCAACGAGAUGCACAUGCUCACAACACGGGUUAGUAGCAUUUGCAUUAUCAAUUAACAUCAUACGAGGGAAAGUGGCUUUUUCCUUGGUUAGCUUUACUUGAAGUUGAGCAUGAGACUCUUUGAGGCUAGCAUGAGCACCCUUCAAGACCUUGUGAGCCUUGUCAAGUAGAUCAAACUCCUCUUUGAGUCUAGCAAGAUCAACCUCAAGUUCGGCAUUCUCGGAGUUUAGCACAUGAGAAACUAUGAGGACAUGAUCAUAAUCUUUCUUUAACUUAGCAUGAUCAACGUUGUGUGACUCCUCAAGAGCCAAACGUAGACCACGCUCUUCCUCAAGAGCAUUGGAAAGAUCUGAAAUCUCAUCGGCAUAGUCACGACUAUGCCCUUCCAUCUUAGUGAUGGUGUCUUCGUGAGCCUCGAUCAUGUCAUUGGCUUCACCAAGUUGUUCCAAGAGAGCAACAAAGUGCUUCUUGGAUUUUCCCUUGAGUUUGCCCAUAAAGGCCUCAAACUCGUUAGCCUCCACAUUAGCUCCCUCAAGUUCAUUAAUGCUAUCCAUCGGAGAAGGAUGAUUAAUGAUGGUAGUUUUGAUGUUGGGGGUUACCUUGUUGGUGGCUUUAGCCAUGAGGCACUUGGCAGUGAUGCUCUCAUUGGGUGAGUCAAAGAGAGACACCCGUGACGUCGUCGCAAUGGCAACGGAGGCCAUGCCAACCGACUCAUCAUCUUCAUCAUCGUCAUCGUCAUCAUUGUACUCUUCUUGCACAACCAAAGCCUUGGGAGGAGUCUUCUUGGUGAAGUUGUUCUUGUUGGGGAACGACUUGGCCUUGUCCUUUCGGAUGAGCUUUCCACCGUUGUCUUCCCUCUUCUCAUACGGGCAUUCCGCAAUGAAAUGACUCAUGUUGCCACAAUUGUAGCAAGUCCUUACACGUUGCUUGCCCCUCGUGCCACUCGAGUUGUUUUUGCUAAAGUUUGGCCUCGAGUUUUUCUUGCUCCAAAAUUGCCUUGAAGCAAGUGCCAUGUGUUCAUGAUAUGCAUACUUCGCAUCUUCGGGGUUGCUCUCCUCUUCUUCCUCUUCUUCCUCUUCUUCUUCUUCCAUGGUGAGCUUGGCCUUCUGCAAGGUUAGGCUUCUUUGCCCAUUGAGAACGGAGCACCGCAUUGUCGGCGGUCUUGUCCAAAAUGUUCAUGGCCACAAACUCAUCCAACACUUCGCUUGAUGUCAAAGUGUGGAAGUCCGGUCUUUGACGAAUGACGGAGGACAUGGCCUUGUGAUAGGGCAUCAUUGCCUUGAGGAAUUUGCGCUUGAUCCAAUUGUCAUCCGUGUCCUUGCUCCCGUGAUCUCGUAGUGAGACCGCGAGUUUGGUUACUCUCCGAUAAAGCUCACGAGGUUCUUCAUCUUCUUUCAUUGCAAACUCAUCGGCCUCAUCUUGUACCACUUCAUAGUUGGAGCGUUGAAUGCUUGCGCUUUCCCGGUAGAGAGAGACAACACAAUGCCAUGCAUCUUUGGCCAAGGCGAAGGGACGAAGAUGAGGUAGGUCUUUGGGUGGAAUUGCAUCUUGAAUGAUGAAGAGAGCAUUCUCAUUGAAUUGAUUGUCCGCAGCUUCUCGAGGAGUGAAGUUGCUUGGAUCAUGUGGAUAGAAACCUUCUUCAAUGAUUCUCCAAAGGUUAGUGUUCACAUGAUUUAAAUGAUGUUUAAAGCGAUAAACCCAAGAAUCAAAAUCCUCAUUUUUCACAAUCUUAGGGGGAGGACCGGCAUGAUUCAAAUGAGUGGAAGGAAUCGGUCCACCAUAAACAAGUGGUGGUUCCACAUGGGCAAAGAUGUCGGUGCCAUUCUUACCACUAGAAGAAGGAGCCUUUUCACUACUAGCUUCCCCCUUGUCGGGGAUAGCAUCCGUCACCUUGUUGGCAGGGUCACCCACUUUCAAUGGUGCGGUGGAUAGUUUAAGCCCCUCAAGAAAUUUGGUAAACAUGCUUUCAACUUCGGUCGUCAUGGAGGUUUUCAAUGUCUCCAAGGCCACAUUGAACUCCUCACGAGAGACCGAGGUUCCCCCAUCGCCCGUAGACGAGAUCGGGUUCACACCGGAGUGUUCCUCCACACCGUCUACGGUAUCAACCAUACUCUUUGGACGGUAAAGUCCUUAAUAAAGAGACGAGGCUCUGAUACCAAUUGAAAGGAUCGAUAUGGUUGACUAGAGGGGGGGUGAAUAGGCAACUACCAAUUUUUAUUUUUCUUUACCAAAUUAAACUUUGCAUCAAAGUAGGUUGUCUAGAUGUGCAACUAGGUGAGCAACCUAUAUGAUGCAAUAACAACAAGCAUACAAGCAAGCAAGGGAAGAAACACUAAAGAGCUUGCACAAGUAAAGGUAAGAGAUAACCAAGAGUGGAUCCGGUGAAGACGAGGAUGUGUUACCGAAGUUCCUUCCUUUUGAGGGGAAGUACGUCUCCGUUAGAGCGGUGUGGAGGCACAAUGCUCCCCAAGAAGCCACUAGGGCCACCGUAUUCUCCUCACGCCCUCACACAAUGCGAGAUGCCGUGAUUCCACUAUUGGUGCCCUUGAAGGCGGCGACCGAACCUUUACAAACAAGGUUGGGGCAAUCUCCACAACUUAAUCGGAGGCUCCCAACAAGACCACGAAGCUUCACCAUAAUGGACUAUGGCUCCGUGGUGACCUCAACCGUCUAGGGUGCUCAAACACCCAAGAGUAACAAGAUCCGCUAGGGAUGAGUGGGGGAAUCGAAAAUCCCUUGGUGGAAGUGUAGAUUGGGGCCUUCUCAACCACUCCCGAGCAAAUCAACAAGUUUGAUUGGCUAGAGAGAUAGAUCGGGCAAAAAUGGAGCUUGGAGCAUUUAAUGGAGCUUGAGAAAUAAAUGGAGCUUGGGGGAGGAAGAGGUAGGUCAAAGAGAAGAAGGGGACUCCCUUUUAUAGUGGGGGCAACAAUCCAACCGUUGCCCCCCACCAACCAGCCCCGCACAGGGCGGUACUACCGCUGAGAGGGGGUGGUACUACCGCCAGGACAGCGGUACUGCCGCGCCAGCCAGCGGCACUGCCGUGCAGAGGAGACUAGUAGGAAAGGACCCAACCGCGGUACUACCGCGGUGGUAGGGACGGUACUACCGCUCCUAGAACGGUACUACCGCCUCUACAACCGCGACUAGUGCCGCAAAACCCGACACGAGAAAAAGACCUCUCGAAUCGAGGCGGUAGGAGCCAGACUGCCCAGCGGUACUACGGCAGCGGGGUCACGGGCGGUACUACCGCUGUGGAGCGGUACUGCCACUUGUGACCCUUCGGCCGUACUACCGCUGGCAGUGCGGUACUACCGCUGGGGCGCAAAAGAGAGAGAGAGAAUCUCUCAAAGAUGUUGAGGACGAGGCGGAGGUGCCAGGCACCCCAGCGGUACUACUGUUGUGGAGCCACGGGCGGUACUACCGCUGUGGAGCGGUACUGCCGCUUGUGGCUCCUCGGCAGUACUACCGCUGGGUUGCGCGGUACUACCGCUUGGACCCAGACAGGAGAAGGAAGAGAGGAGAGAUCUCUUCAAUGGAAUGGAGACGCUCGGAGGGUGAGAAGCUGAUGUGUACGUGAUGAUUCCACCCAUGCAAUACCCCAGCGGACCCCCUCUUGAUAGUACGGUGCCCUCUACACAACUAGUCCAUCGAGAAAGAAACGAAAGAGCUACACCGUCUUGAAAUACACUCCGAGGGGAAGAAAGCGUCUCAUGCCAGGGGAGAAUCUGUGAAUUAUUCAAAGCACAAGAUUAGUCCGCAAACAUGUUGUCAUCAAUCACCAAAACUACCUUGAGAGAGAUAUGCCGUAACAAAAGGCAUUCCCACACAACAUUUAUCCACACAGACCCCUCUUAAUAGUGCGGUCUUUCCUACGACUCGAAGNNNNNNNNNNNNNNNNNNNNNNNNNNNNNNNNNNNNNNNNNNNNNNNNNNNNNNNNNNNNNNNNNNNNNNNNNNNNNNNNNNNNNNNNNNNNNNNNNNNNNNNNNNNNNNNNNNNNNNNNNNNNNNNNNNNNNNNNNNNNNNNNNNNNNNNNNNNNNNNNNNNNNNNNNNNNNNNNNNNNNNNNNNNNNNNNNNNNNNNNNNNNNNNNNNNNNNNNNNNNNNNNNNNNNNNNNNNNNNNNNNNNNNNNNNNNNNNNNNNNNNNNNNNNNNNNNNNNNNNNNNNNNNNNNNNNNNNNNNNNNNNNNNNNNNNNNNNNNNNNNNNNNNNNNNNNNNNNNNNNNNUCGCACAUCUCCAUCGCGGGCACUUAGAACCAAUAACCUGAGAUAAACUUUAGCAACCGAUAUUAGUUCAACUAACCACAUUGUCAUCACACCAAAAUAUAGCUUAAGUUCCAUUAGCACUUUCAGGCGGGAGGGACCCUGCUCUUGUUCUUAUUAGGUGUCUUGGUUGGGGUUGUACAACAAUGGCGAUGUUCCACAAGCUAUGUUCGGUUAUUAGGGAUUUGACCCCGUAGAGGAUACAAUCCACACGGGUGUUGGGUUGACCCCGCCCCUUCACCCCCUCUGCAACAAUGGCGGGAUUAAUUCCAUGCAUAUGUAGGGCGGCUUUUGGGUCAAAACCGUAGGGUUGCGAGGGGAUUUGACAGGGUUUCUAUCCCCGUCUAGUAUAACCGAAUGCACUGUAUGAAACAGACCGUGAAAAAUCCCCAACCGCGACAAUCCUGGCCGAUCCACGGGGUUUUGACCCCAAUCCCUAGGGGGAUUAACCGAAUGAAGCCUCGGUAAGAAUAAUUCCCCUGACGUUCGAUCCUCUUCCCGACGGCGCGUCUAGCAUCGUCAGACGGCGUGUGGGGUUUGUCUCGGUCGGUCCUCGCGGGAUUCGGUCGAUGCUAGUCUUAGGUCGAUCUAUCUGGAUUCGGUCUUCGUUGAUGUGUUUAGGUUUGAUCCUUUUGAUCUACGACUUUCUUCAUCGACAAUGGUUGUUGCUCUAGUGCACUGGUCCUAUGAGGCCUUAGCACGGUGACUUCCUGACUAUUUACUACAAUCUAUACUCCUAAUGAAGCAGUUGGUAGUCUCCGUUCCUGAUUUUUUUUCGUCCCACCUCCCACUUUCGCUAGUUUUUUUCAUAGAUUUUUUUCGUCCCUUCCCCCACUUCACCGGUUUAUUUUCGCAUCACCCUCUCACACAAUGAAAGAAAUCUGAACAUACCAGAAUUUUCCAUGCUGGAGUAAAUCUCUACUCCUAAUGGAGCAAUUGGUAGUCUUCGUUUCGGGUUUUUUCCGUCCCACGUCCCACUUUCGCUGGGUUUUUUUCAUAGAUUUUUUUUCGUCCCCUCCCCCACUUCACCGGUUUAUUUUUGCGUCACCCUCUCACACAAUGAAAGAAAUCUGAACAUACCAGAAUUUUCCAUGCUGGCGCAAAUUAUUUAGUAAUGUAGAAUCAAUCAAGAUCAAUCUCUAAAGAUCAAAUCUAAAUUAAUUAACAUUACCUUAAAUCGCUCAAUCACAUUAAUUAGAAAACAAAUAAUUUAUUUUAAGAAAAAUCACUCAAUCACAUUAAUUAGGAAACAAAUAACCAAUUUUAAGAAAAUUAAUGUGUAAAUCAUAACAAAGAAAUCUCAUGGGCGAACGAGGCCCCCUCGAACGCCCGUGCACAACCGCCUUGUUCCCUCUCCCCCACCCAAAGCCGCCCUCUUCCCCACCGGCGCCGCCCUCCACUCACCUUCUUCUCUUAAAGUGGGGAGGCUCCAGAUCGAGUCGAGGAAGCCAGCGGGGCGGCGGUCAGAUCCAUCACGGCCACAUCUUGUCGAGAUGGACCACACCGGGAGAGGUAGAUCAAGGGGGCGGGCACCGUGUGCAUCUUCUCUCUCGGGACGCCGCUCCAACCCGAUUCGGUGAGAAGGCAGGCCUCCGUGUGCGGUAACAAGGGCGGCUGGCGAUCGGCGACGGUCGGCCCUCUCCCUCCCCUCCGGCCCUCCACUCUAUGUUUCCUCCAAAUGAUUCUCCUCUAGAUGGCGAUGCGAGGUCUCUGUAACAGGUGUGUUAUUCAUUUGAAUGGCGGUCGCCUUUGUGCAGUCGUCGACCACUAUCGCCAUGUUCAUUGCUCCCAUGUAUUGGUACUUCACGUCAAUAAUACAACCUUGAGUAUCAGUUUGAUAAUUCAUCUUGAAGGCAUUACCUUUGGCAGCACAUAUUAGGUAUAAUAUACUCCACUCUCCAUGAUUGUUGUACUCUCUUCCCAUAAAGUCAGAUUUGUUCAUCCUUUUAGUGCAAUUUAUUUCCUGUCAGCAAUCUGCUACGCAUGCAAUCUUAUGAGCAAAAUUUUAUUUAGGCCAUCCUUUUCAUAGUAUUAUUCAGGCACCACUUUUUGGUCUCUGGGUAUCAGAAUUACUAUAUCCUACACAAGAUAGAUUUGUACGUGAGACUGACAAUUAAUCAUACUCCGUAGUUAUGCAACACCAAGACCCUUGACUUUUUCAGUCCAACAGUAUCCCAUAGCUACAUAGAUAAAAUAGAACCAUCAUAAUCUGUAAAGCAGCAGAAGAGCUAACCAUAUUCAAACUGCAAACAAAAAGUAUAAAGUUAUUUUUACAGCAAAGACUAGCUUUGAGAAAAGAAAUGCAUAUAUUUGAUUGGGAAAAGAAGACAUGCUAGCUCAAAUAUUUUGUGAUGCAAUUAUGCACCAUUUGAUAGCAGAGUGGUAUUAUGUCCCUCAAUGAUUCUAAAUUUCUAUUAUCUGACAAAAUUUGUUUACCGGUCUUUGCCGUGCUGCUUUUAAUGCCAGGGUCAUAGUAGAAUUGUUGUUCCACCAAAAUUCAGAUGUGAAGAGGAGUUCUUGAUAAUAGAUGAACAUACCAGCCUACUUGCCUACAACCAAUGUAGAAUUAUCAGCGGGUACGCCAGUCGGAGCAGUUGACUGAAGAAAACUUGCAGAUAGCUACCAUCAAUGUCACUUAAGUAAAUAGUCUAGAUCUUACACGUGACCGUUGUUUUUGAAGCCUUAUCUGCAGUUCAGACUAUAUGGCGAGAAGACACAAGGGCAUCAUACAUUGGAUACUACAAAGUAGACAUGUUUUUACAAAUGACAUAGGGGAAUAUCACCACAGUGGAAGCAAAGCACCCUAUAUCUAUGAAAAUAAAUAGUAUAAGACAUCAAGGAAGAAAAUGAGACAUUAACAUUUGAUGAAGAUUCAACUUCAUAGGAAGUAGGAGUGCUUAUAAGGGGUGCUGCUAUAAAGGGGAUGGAGGUAAUCAGAAGAAUUUGCAUGUGGUAAAAUAACUACCUCAUAGAAGAGUUAAUUGGUUUUAAUGUAGGAAAAAUCUACAGGCUGAUUAAGCUUUGAUGUAUUUGAUGUAUAAAUAUUAGCAUUUCGCUCUACAUAAAAAAAAUCUUGCUAAGGUUAUUCAAUAGGCUAAGAGAAUACUUGAUGGACCAAGGCAAGUAGUGUUUGUAAUGACUUGGUUUAUGAUAGUGCAAAAUAAAUUAUAAAGAGAGUACAUAGAUUAUUUCCAUGAAAUAUUUUAAACUUGCACAUAUUCUGGUUCGUAUCAUGAUAUCCACACAAACCUAACUAUCCUGCUUACAAUGCUUCACACAAAUAGAUAAAAAAAUGUUUCUUAUCAAAAAUGAAAAAUUACUCCAUCAUAUGUGUGGAGUAUGUUGUAGUGCUCCACAAAAUAUUUCUCAUGACCCCUGAAAACUUUUAAGGAUGGAGCGAAUUACCCAAAACAAUUUUCAUGAAAUUCCUUUUGUUGUGGUGGCAAAUAUAAUGCUUAGAGCAUCUCCAAUAGAUGAUGUAUAUUUUGGUGAUCCAAACCGGUGAUGUAAAAAAUUACAUCACCAAAAAGUGCUUUUUACAUCUCCAAAAAGGCUUAACUCCAACAGAUGGUCCAAAACGGAGGUGUAAAAGAGCAACUCCAACAGAUGGUCCAAAACGAAGAUGUAAAAUUCUGAAAACGACCACUACUACUUCAUCUCAACAUAGUUCAAACAUCAAAUUCAAACAUAGUUCAAAUAUAGCUGACAUAAAUUUAAAAUAGCAGAACUACUCGUUGUCCGAGGGCAUCCAGUAUGACCCUUCGGAGUCAUCCGAGAGCCCCCAGAACUCCUCGUCCUUCUCCGACGAUGAUGGAGGAUGGGGAUCACCGUUGAGGGGCCGGCCUCGGCCUCCUUCUUCACCUCCUCCUCCUCCUCCUCCUCCUUCUUCUUCUUCUCCUCGGCAUCACACUUCCAGUAGAACUCCUGCUCGGCCUGGGCAUACUCGGGAUGCUCCUGCGCAAACUAAGCCAUCACCGCCUCGUCGCUCUCACCGGGAGUGAUGACAGUCGCCGGUCUCUUCUUCUUCGUCGUCGGCAUCUCCUCCAUCCGGAUGCCCUGCAGCACGAGCCACUCUGCCACCGCCCAGGUCUCGAUUGCCGGGAAGUUGACGUCCGUCUUCGGCCGUCCGACACGCCACACCGCCAAGUCGUGGGCACAUGCAACCUCGUCGGCGGUGGGAUACGUGCCAAGCCACCAACGCCGCCCGGCGUCGAAGAACUCUACUCCGAAGUUCCCGGAGUGCUUCACCCUUACGCCGAAGAAACCCGACUUGCCCUCCGGCAUCUUCUUCGACGCCAUCGGGUGGCGGCGUCGGCCGGAGUGAGUCAGGGCAGCGGUAGAUGGGGAGAGAUCAGGGCGGCGGCCGAGCGGGGAGCGGGCGGCGGCGUGCGGUGUGGGGCGGAGGCGGACGAAGCGGGGCGGUGGCGUGCAGUGCCGGCAAGGGAGGGCGGCGGCGGUGAGCGAUGCAGGCGGAGGCCGGAGCGGGGCGGAGGUGGGCGGAGCCAGGGCGGGUCUAAGGCAGACGGGUCCGGGGCGGGGUGGAGGCGGCCGGAGCGGAGGCGGACGGGGCCGGGGCGGCGCGGUGCGGUGACGGCCUGAUCCACCCGUACGACGGCGGGUGGCGGUCCAGACAGGGUGGAAUCAGCGGGGGGUAGGGACGGGGCUGGAUCUGCGGCGGGGCGGUGUCGCGGAGCUGUGGCGGGGCGGCGGUGGGCGGGCGGGAGGAAGAAGGGGAGAAAUGAACUGAAGGGCGGUUGGGCGUUGGUGCGCGGCCGCGGUUUUUACAUCUUCUGACUCUGGAGAUGUAAAUUUGCACCGCGAGGUGUUGUAUUUUACAUCUCGUGGAGGCGAAAAUGUAAAAAAAUUGCAUAUGGACCAUCUGUUGGAGAGAUAAUUUUUGCCUCAGAAGAUUCAAAAGUUGGUUAUUUUUACAUAUGGUGUUGGGGAACGUAGUAAUUUCAAAAAAAAUCCUACGCACACGCAAGAUCAUGGUAAUGCAUAGCAACGCGAGGGGAGAGUGUGAUCUACGUACCCUUGUAGAUUGACAACGGAAGCAUUAACUUGGUUGAUGUAGUCGUACGUCUUCACGGCCCGACCGAUCAAGCACCGAAACUACGGCACCUCCGAGUUCUAGCACACGUUCAGCUCGAUGACGAUCCCCGGACUCCGAUCCAGCAAAGUGUCGGGGAAGAGUUCCGUCAGCACGACGGCGUGGUGACGAUCUUAAUGUACUACUGUCGCAGGGCUUCGCCUAAGCACCGCUACAAUAUUAUCGAGGACUAUGGUGGAAGGGGACACCGCACACGGCUAAGAAUAUGAUCACAUAGAUCAACUUAUGUCCAAACUCGUAACUCAAAUAUUCUCCUCCAUGAUCAGAUCGUAGAAACUUUAUUUUCUUGUUAUGAUGACUUUCAACUUCACUCUGAAAUUCUUUGAACUUUUCAAACGUUUCAAACUUAUGUUUCAUUAAGUAGACAUAUCCAUAUCUGCUUAAGUCAUCUGUGAAGGUGAGAAAAUAACGAUAUCCGCCACGAGCCUCAAUAUUCAUCGGACCACAUACAUCAGUAUGUAUGAUUUCCAACAAAUCUGUUGCUCUCUCCAUAGUACCGGAGAAUGGCGCUUUAGUCAUCUUGCCCAUGAGGCACGGUUCGCAAGUACCAAGUGAUUCAUAAUCAAGUGGUUCCAAAAGUCCAUCAGUAUGGAGUUUCUUCAUGCGCUUUACACCGAUAUGACCUAAACGGCAGUGCCAUAAAUAAGUUGCACUAUCUUUAUCAACUCUGCAUCUUUUGGCUUCAACAUUAUGAAUAUGUGUGUUACUACUAUCCAGAUUCAAUAAGAAUAGACCACUCUUGAAGGGUGCAUGACCAUAAAAGAUAUUACUCAUAUAAAUAGAACAACCACUAUUCUUUGAUUUAAAUGAAUAACCGUCUCGCAUCAAACAAGAUCCAGAUAUAAUGUUCAUGCUUAACGCUGGCACCAAAUAACAAUUAUUUAGGUCUAAUAUUAAUCCCGAAGGUAGAUGUAGAGGUAGCGUGCCGACCGCGAUCACAUCGACUUUGGAACCGUUUCCCACGCGCAUCGUCACCUCGUCCUUAGCCAAUCUUCGCUUAAUUCGUAGUCCCUGUUUCGAGUUGCAAAUAUUAGCAACAGAACCAGUAUCAAAUACCCAGGUGCUACUGCGAGCAUUAGUAAGGUACACAUCAAUAACAUGUAUAUCGCAUAUACCUUUGUUCACCUUGCCAUCCUUCUUAUCCGCCAAAUACUUGGGGCAGUUCCGCUUCCAGUGACCAGUCUGCUUGCAGUAGAAGCACUCAGUUUCAGGCUUAGGUCCAGACUUGGGUUUCUUCUCUUGAGCAGCAACUUGCUUGCUGUUCUUCUUGAAGUUCCCCUUCUUCUUCCAUUUGCCCUUUUUCUUGAAACUAGUGGUCUUGUUGACCAUCAACACUUGAUGCUCCUUUUUGAUUUCUACCUCCGCAGCUUUCAGCAAUGCGAAGAGCUCGGGAAUAGUCUUAUUCAUCCCUUGCAUAUUAUAGUUCAUCACGAAGCUCUUGUAGCUUGGUGGCAGUGAUUGGAGAAUUUUGUCAAUGACGCAAUCAUCUGGAAGAUUAACUCCCAUUUGAAUCAAGUGAUUAUUAUACCCAGACAUUUUGAGUAUAUGCUCACUGACAGAAAUGUUCUCCUCCAUCUUGCAGCUAUAGAACUUAUUGGAGACUUCAUAUCUCUCAAUCCGGGCAUUUGCUUGAAAUAUUAACUUCAACUCCUGGAACAUCUCAUAUGCUCCACGACGUUCAAAACGUCGUUGAAGUCCCGGUUCUAAGCCGUAAAGCAUGGCACACUAAACUAUCGAGUAGUCAUCAGCUUUGCUCUGCCAGAUCUUCACAACAUCUGGUGUUGCUCCAGCAGCAGGCCUGGCAUCCAGCGGUGCUUCCAGGGCGUAAUUCUUCUGUGCAGCAAUGAGGAUAAUCCUCAAGUUACGGACCCAGUCCGUGUAAUUGCUACCAUCAUCUUUCAACUUUGCUUUCUCAAGGAACGCAUUAAAAUUCAACGAAACAACAGCACGGGCCAUUUAUCUACAAUCAUACAUAAACAAGCAAGAUACUAUCAGGUACUAAGUUCAUGAUAAAUUUAGGUUCAAUUAAUCAUAUUACUUAAAGAACUCCCACUUAGAUAGACAUCCCUCUAAUCCUCUAAGUGAUUACGUGAUCCAAAUCAACUAAACCAUGUCCGAUCAUCACGUGAGAUGGAGUAGUUUCAUUGGUGAACAUCACUAUGUUGAUCAUAUCUACUAUAUGAUUCACGCUCGACCUUUCGGUCUCCGUGUUCCGAGGCCAUAUCUGUAUAUGCUUGGCUCGUCAAGUAUAACCUGAGUAUUCCACGUGUGCAACUGUUUUGCACCCGUUGUAUUUGAACGUAGAGCCUAUCACACCCGAUCAUCACGUGGUGUCUCAGCACGAAGAACUUUCGCAACGGUGCAUACUCAAGGAGAACACUUCUUGAUAAUUAGUGAGAGAUCAUCUUAUAAUGCUACCGUCAAUCAAAGCAAGAUAAGAUGCAUAAAAGAUAAACAUCACAUGCAAUCAAUAUAAGUGAUAUGAUAUGGCCAUCAUCAUCUUGUGCUUGUGAUCACCAUCUCCGAAGCACCGUCAUGAUCACCAUCGUCACCGGCGCGACACCUUGAUCUCCAUCGUAGCAUCGUUGUUGUCUCGCCAAUCUUAUGCUUCCACGACUAUCGCUACCGCUUAGUGAUAAAGUAAAGCAUUACGGCGCGAUUGCAUUGCAUACAAUAAAGCGACAACCAUAUGGCUCCUGCCAGUUGCCGAUAACUCGGUUACAAAACAUGAUCAUCUCAUACAAUUUAGCAUCAUGUCUUGACCAUAUCACAUCACAACAUGCCCUGCAAAAACAAGUUAGACGUCCUCUACUUUGUUGUUGCAUGUUUUACAUGGCUGCUACGGGCUUAAGCAAGAACCAAUCUUACCUAUGCAUCAAAACCACAACGAUAGUUUGUCAAGUUGGUGCUGUUUUAACCUUCACAAGGACCGGGCGUAGCCACACUCGGUUCAACUAAAGUUGGAGAAACUGACACCCGCAAGCCACCUAUGUGCAAAGCACGUCGGGAGAACCGGUCUCGCGUAAGCGUACGCGUAAUGUCGGUCCGGGCCGCUUCGUCCAACAAUACCGCCGAACCAAAGUAUGACAUGCUGGUAAGCAGUAUGACUUAUAUCGCCCACAACUCAAUUGUGUUCUACUCGUGCAUAUAACAUCAACAUAUAAAACCUAGGCUCGGAUGCCACUGUUGGGGAACAUAGUAAUUUCAAAAAAAUUCCUACGCACACGCAAGAUCAUGGUGAUGCAUAGCAACGAGAGGGGAGAGUGUGAUCUACAUACCCUUGUAGAUCGACAACGGAAGCGUUAACUUGGUUGAUGUAGUCGUACGUCUUCACGGCCCGACCGAUCAAGCACCGAAACUACGGCACCUCCGAGUUCUAGCACACGUUCAGCUCGAUGACGAUCCCCGGACUCCGAUCCAGCAAAGUGUCGGGGAAGAGUUCCGUCAGCACGACGGCGUGGUGACGAUCUUGAUGUACUACUGUCGCAGGGCUUCGCCUAAGCACCGCUACAAUAUUAUCGAGGACUAUGGUGGAAGGGGGCACCGCACACGGCUAAGAAUAUGAUCACGUGGAUCAACUUAUGUCCUUAGGGGUGCCCCUUGCCUCCGUAUAUAAAGGUUCAAAGGGGGGGCGGCCAAGAGGAGGCGCGCCAGGAGGAGUCCUACUCCCUCCGGGAGUAGGACUCCCCCCCUUUCCUAGUUGGAAUAGGAUUCGCGAAGGGGGGGAAAGAGGAGAGAGAGGAGGAAGGGGGGCCGGCCCCCUCUCCUUGUCCUAUUCGGACCAAGGGGGGAGGGGCGCGCGGCCCAUCUCUGGCCACCUCUCCUCUCUUCCACUAAGGCCCACUAAGGCCCAUAUACCUCCCGGGGGGGUUCCGGUAAUCCGGUAAAAUCCCGAUUUCACCCGGAACACUUCCGAUAUCCAAACAUAGGCUUCCAAUAUAACAAUCUUUAUGUCUCGACCAUUUCGAGACUCCUCGUCAUGUCCGUGAUCACAUCCGGGACUCCUAAAAACCUUCGGUACAUCAAAACGCAUAAACUCAUAAUAUAACUGUCAUCGAAACCUUAAGCGUGCGGACCCUACGGGUUCGAGAACAAUGUAGACAUGACCUAGACACGUCUCCGGUCAAUAACCAAUAGCGGGACCUGGAUGCCCAUAUUGGUUCCUACAUAUUCUACGAAGAUCUUUUAUCGGUCAGACCGCAUAACAACAUACGUUGUUCCCUUUGUCAUCAGUAUGUUACUUGCCCGAGAUUCGAUCAUCAGUAUCCUAUACCUAGUUCAAUCUCGUAACCGGCAAGUCUCUUUACUCGUUCUGUAAUACAUCAUCCCGCAACUAACUCAUUAGUUGCAAUGCUUGCAAGGCUUAAGUGAUGUGCAUUACCGAGAGGGCCCAGAGAUACCUCUCCGACAAUCGGAGUGACAAAUCCUAAUCUCGAAAUACGCCAACCCAACAUGUACCUUUGGAGACACCUGUAGAGCUCCUAUAUAAUCACCCAGUUACGUUGUGAUGUUUGGUAGCACACAAAGUAUUCCUCUGGCAAAUGGGAGUUGCAUAAUCUCAUAGUCAUAGGAACAUGUAUAAGUCAUGAAGAAAGCAAUAGCAACAUACUAAACGAUCGGGUGCUAAGCUAAUGGAAUGGGUCAUGUCAAUCAGAUCAUUCAACUAAUGAUGUGAUCCCGUUAAUCAAAUAACAACUCUUUGUCCAUGGUUAUGAAACAUAACCAUCUUUGAUUAACGAGCUAGUCAAGUAGAGGCAUACUAGUGACACUCUGUUUGUCUAUGUAUUCACACAUGUAUUAUGUUUCCGGUUAAUACAAUUCUAGCAUGAAUAAUAAACUUUUGUCAUGAUAUAAGGAAAUAAAUAAUAACUUUAUUAUUGCCUCUAGGGCAUAUUUCCUUCAUAUCGACCGUCUGUUGAAGAUGCUCUUAGUCCUGAAAAUAUUAUAAUGAAAAAUAUUAUUUUGUGCAUAGUCGAACACUUAAAUAAUUGAUUGAGGGAAUUUGAGAGGAUGGAGAAGAUGAGGGCACAAUAAAGAAAUGGAUGGAAAAAAAGAAAGAAGAGUGUUGGAGAUAAGAGACAGAGUGAGAAAGAGGGUCUUUACAUAAAAAAAAGUCGACAAUGAUGCAUAAACAUAAUUAGUAUGAGGGUAAAGUAUAUAUUAUACACAAGUGAUGUUGAACUAUUGUUAUAUACAAAGAACCCGUAGCAAUGCAUGGGCGUUCUAUUAGUAAGAUAGUGAGGGAGGGGCGAUGACGGCGGCAUGCCUUCGACUCGCUCUAGUGCUUGUAACUUUUAUGACUUAUAUAUGAUGUGAAUAGAUCAAAAGUUUCUCUCAUAAUUUUUUUUUGUUUGCAUUGUUAAUCUCUACUCCUUUUUUUAGGGCAAGCAAUAAGCUUUAUUACGAAAUGAGUUGGGCAAUAUCGCCCAUUACAAACUCAGCAACACUUGCUGGAAGAACAUGAUCAGCAACAAGGAUAUCCCCCUCUUGACGGGCAAGUCCUAAUCUGGCCAUAUGACGCGCUGGCAUAUUAGCCUCGCGCUUACAGUGGGCAAACACACACGAGGAGAACCAUAAUCUGGAUUGCACUUUAAUGUCUUCAAUCGCUUAUGCUUGACGUGAGUAGUCAGGGUUCUCUUGUUUAAGGCAUGUUCAAGCAUGAGGGCGUCCAUCUCGACCGUCAGGCGCACCACCCCCAGCUCUGCAGCAAGGUCCAAGGCUUUCUCCACUGCAUGCAGCUCCGUACUGAACGCAUCGACGGCAUGGUCCAUUCGCCCCGCCCGUGCCGCCACAACAUCCCCUGUACUAACCCGGACGAUGACUCCCCAUGCUCCCCGCCCGCCUUCCUCGAUGAAAGCACCAUCGACGUUGAAUUUCAGCAUGUCCUGUGGGGGCGGGUUCCAGUGAGGCAUGCAGGCCGGCGCCGGGGUCACUUUGCAGAAACAGUCCUGGAAUUCUUCGGCCGUGCAUGCAGCUCUAAUGGCAAACUGCGUGUGCUCCAUUGGCUUUUCUCCCUCUCUAACCUUGUUUCGUUGAGUCCACCACUGCCGCCACAUGGUUAUGAUCAUCAUCCGUUCCUUUUUAGGAAGCUGCCACAAGAAUUCCAAGGUUGUAUGCACACUAUCACACUCUGCCAGCCGCUGUCUGGCAUACUCGAGAUCGAGACUCCGCCACACCUGCUUGACUUCGUGUCAUUCCACGAAUAGGUGUUUUGCCGACUCGUUUCUCAUGUUGCACAUGAAGCAUUUGUGAUCCUCGAUUUUCAUUCCUUUUCGACACAAAAUGUCCUUAGUGGCUAGUGUGUUAUGCGCAAGUCGCCACAUGAAAUGACGAAUCUUCCCUGGGCAUGGAAGUCUCCAUAUUCUCUUCCACUUUGCCUCUCCUCCGCCCUCAAGAUUACCGGCAACAGGAGGGAUCCCAACUCCUUGUUCGGCUUCAGGCUCAGCAAGAGCCCUCUUUAGUUUAUACGCCUGCUUAACCGAGAAGAGGCCCUUGGUGUCAAAGUGCCAAGCCAAAAAAUCAACUGCUCCAUCCCGAAGAGGCAUUUGGAGUAUCAAUCCUGCAUCCUCCUCCCAAAAAGUGUCCCUGAUCAGCUCCGUAUCCCACUUGCCAGUAACUGGGUCGAUUAGUUCAGAGACCUUGGUCAAGAUAUUUCCCCCACGAGGAGUGAUGACCCGCCUAGACCAUGCUCUGGGUAUCCAAGGAUCAUCCCAAAUGCGGAUACUUGCGCCAUCUCCAACACGCCAUAUCAUACCUUGUUUAACUAGAUCAAUUCCGUGGAUGAUGCUGCGCCAAGCGUAGGACGUGUUUGUGGUCUGUCCCGCAUCAAGGAUGGAACUGUUCGGGUAGUAUUUGGCCUUCAGGAGCUGAGCACAUAGACUGUCCGGGUUUUCAAUCAGACGCCACACCUGCCUGGCAAGCAUGGCAAUGUUAAAAUCAUGAAUAUCUCGGAAGCCGAGGCCCCCCGCCCUUUCGAUCGUGUAAGUUUUUGCCACCCAAUCCAGUGUAUCUUAUUGUCCUUAUCUUGCUGGCUCCACCAGUAACGCGCAAUCAUAGAGCUUAACUCUUCACAAAAGGACAUAGUGAGAUAGAACACUGACAUAGCAAAAGUUGGAACCGCUUGUGCAACACCCUUAACCAGGAUCUCCUUUCCUUGCCGAGAAAGUGUUCUCUCGUUCCAGCCUUGCAUAUAGUUCCAGAUCCGGUCCUUCAGGUAAGCAAAGGCCUUCUUUUUGGACCGGCCGAUGUACACGGGAAGCCCCAAAUAUUUCUCGUUAUACGCCUCGCUAGCAAUCCCCAAAACUCCUUUCACAGUACCCUUCGUCUGUUCGGUGCAGUUUUUACUGAACAUGACAGCAGAUUUUUCAUAGUUGACACACUGGCCCGAGCAUCUCUCAUAAACUUGGAGUAUCCGAUGUAGUUCCACAGCUUCAGCAGCCCUGGCUCGCAUCAGGAGGACCGAAUCAUCCGCAAAGAAAAGAUGCGAGAUGGAUGGCGCCCCCGGGCAGAUUUGUAUUCCUCCAAACGAACCACGCUGUUGGGAAUCAUUUAGUAAGGCCGACAGUCCUUCAGCAACAAUGGCAAAAAGAUAUGGUGAGCUUGGGUUGCCCUGCCGGAGCCCUCGAGAAGGUACAAACUGCUGGGUGAGUUAACCAUUGAUUUUGAUACUGUACUUUACCGAAGUUACACACUUCAUCACUAGCUUGGCCCAUCUUCUCGCGAACCCCAACUUGUUCAUCAUUGCUUCGAGGAAACCCCACUCUACCCGGUCAUAUGCUUUGCUCAUAUCCACUUUGACCUCAGCAAAUUCCUCCUUCCCCGACCGCUUGUUCAUCAAGAAAUGUGAAAUCUCAUAAGCCAUAAGGAUAUUAUCAGUUAUCAACCGUCCAGGCACAAAGGCACUCUGAUUAUGUGAGAUGAUCUGUGGCAGAAUGAUCUUGAGGCGAUUCGCCAUAACCUUGGAGAUAAUCUUAUAUAGGACAUUACACAGACUUAUGGGCCUGAGAUCCUUGACCCGAGUCGGGUUUUUCACCUUGGGUAUAAGCACAACAUGAGUAUCAUUCCAGCCCACUGGCAUCUCACCACCCUCUAAAACAUGCCGCACCUCAUCAACUAUGUUCUUGCCCAUAAGCUGCCAAUAUUUCUUGAACACCACCGCAGGCAUGCCAUCCGGCCCCGGUGCCUUGAGGUCUCCAAUCUGAUCCAGAGCGGUUUUGAUCUCCAUAUCCGUGAAGGGAGCGGUGAGGCCAUCAUUCAUAGCACUAGUGACCUUCACCGGAACAGCUCGGAGAAGCUCAUCAUAUUGGCCAACGCCAUUGGAGGUGAACAAGCCCUGAAAGUAAGACAUGACAUAGUUAGUGAGCUCCCUCCCUUCCUCUACAACUACUCCAUCCUCCCUCUUAAGCCUCCGAAUCCUGUUAGCCUUCCUUCUCGCCGAGGCAUAACGGAAAAAAAACUUUGUGUUCCUAUCCCCUUCCUUCAGCCACCAGACAUGAGCUCGCUGCCUCCAUUUAAUGUCAAUUACCUCCUCUAAAUGGUCCACCAAAACUCUUAGCCUCACCUCCUCAGCCACCUUCUCCGGUGUGACACCCUCCCUCCUACAAGCUUCCAACUCCCGCUUUGCUUCCUUUAACUUCUUCUUCGUAUCUCCCACGACAUCUCUACUCCAUCUAGAGAGAUCUCUAGCCACGCCCAUCAGUGCCGCGGCCAUGUCCAGAGCCCCUCCCUCGCGCACUCUUCGCCAUGCUUCCUUCACAACCAAAUCACACCCCUCUUCCUUCAACCACCGGGCUUCGAACCGAAAGCAUCCCGGUCCCUUCCUUCCCCCGUCCCCCAUCUCCUCCGUGUCAACCACCACCGGCCUGUGAUCGGAAUGCCUCGGGACCUCAUUUCAAACUCGAAACUCCGGGAACUUUGAGCACCAUUCCAUGUUGGCAGUAGCCCAAUCGAGACGACCACAGACAUAGCCAUCCGCACGCGUGCAGUUGUUCCACCAAGUGAUAACAUCUCCCUCAUAUCCUAGAUCACUCAGCUUGCAUUCCUCCAACGCAUCUUUAAACUGGUUCAUACACCCGUCCGAUCGGUCCACACCCCCUCUCUUCUCUUCAUUGGACAUGAUUUCAUUAAAAUCCCCCAAGCAAAGCCACGGCCUUCCCUCCGGGUGCUGCUGGUUAAGCAAAUGCAUCGUCCUCCAGGUUUCCUUCUUCCUUCCCCACUGCGACUCCCCAUAUACUCCAGUAAUCCUCCAAAUUGAACCAUCCUCCUCCGUUAUGUCUGCAUCAACAUGCCUUCUACCCACUGAUCUCAAAGAGAGGUUGAUCCCCCUCCUCCAAAAGAUGGCCACCCCCCGGCUCCUCCCUUCCGAAUCCUUAGCACACAUAUUAGCCAACCCUAGCUUCCACCUAUACUGCUCCAACUCCUUCUCCAACAGUUUUGUCUCACACAAAAACAAAACAUCGGGAUCCUCCACCCUCUUGAGAUCCAAGAGGCCACGAACUGUCGGGCCAUUCCCGAGUCCCCGGCAGUUCCAGCUUACAAUCCUCAUUGUGUCCGGCGGGGCUGCUCCUGCAGCCCGGCCGAUAUCAUGUUUACUGGAGCCGUUACUGACUCACCCACCCUUCUCUCUUCCCCAUCUUCCACUCUUCCCUUCUUUUUCAUCUUUUCCUCCUCCUCCCCCUCCACAUUCCUCUUCUGACCCAACAAGCAGCCCACUCCACCGUCUUCCUUUGCCACCACCGGCCCUUCCCUUCUAAUCUUCUUGUAUUUCUUUGGGACAUGGCCACCACUACUUCCUCUCCCGUCCACCCUCACAUCGCUCUCCUCUACUACUGCCUUCCCGUUCUGCUUCUUCGGUUGGUGUACCACCUCCUUACAAAUUGUCCCAUCCUCCCCCUCCACUUCCAUAGCUCCUCCUUUCUCCUCCACCUCCCCCUGAUCCGAUCGUGCAUCUCCCCCCGACACCUCCUCGCUUUCACCAGCGGUCUGAAAAGUCAGCCUCUUUGGAAGCCCCCCUCCCCCGUUCGCCUUCAAAGUCUUGCUAGGGCUAGUGACCUCUUCUUCUUCCUCCGUCCCACCCUCAACUGUCUUGGGGUCAAAUUUUCGCGAGAUUAUCACUCCGAGACCUACCCGCCAGCCUCCCGCCCAUACGAUCGCCCACUUCCAGAGCCACUCCCACUCCCACUCUGAUUGCUCCUCCACAUCCGUCCUUCCUCUGCACCACGUCGUCGCAUCAUGUCAGCACGCAACCAUCUCCCAUACUGCGCAUUCUCCCCCUUCUUUAGUCUGAUGGAGCAUCCUUUGUCCACAUGUCCAAUGAGUCCACAGAUAUAACAGAAGUCAGGGACGAAUUCAUACUCAAAACGGCAAAAUAGCCUCUCCCUAUCGCCAUCUCCUCCACGCUCACCCCCAUUCUCCUCAUCACUUUUAGACUCCUCAUCCAGAGUGAUUCCCCUCAUUAUCGGUUUGUUGAUUGGCAUACGUACUUUGAUGCGCAAAAACCUCCCCACCGCCGAGCCAUCCACUCCUGAGUCCAUCUCUACAUACUUGCCCACUAGGUUUCCAAUCUCCUCCGCCAUCUCCUCCUCCAUCUUCCCCAGCGGCAGCCCAAACACUCUGAACCAGAUUGGGAUCUCAUCGAACACGUACUGCUCAAUUUUCUUACUUGGCACAAAGUCCACCACCACCACGAGAUCAUUAUCAAACAUCCACGGACCAUCCUCCAACGCCUUGCGCUUGCCUGAUUCUUGUUUGAACGUGAACAGGAAUAUAUUGUCGCCCAACUCUUUGCAGUCCACGCCCUUCAGGGGGCACCAGCACUUCCCCAGCGACAGGCAGAUCGCAUCAUGGUGCGCGGGCCUCUCCGACAUCACCUUCCCCACCGCCUGAACCCCAGCCUUGUUCUCCUUGGCCCGCGUCGUCCAUCGGAUCUUCACUCCUCUCCUCUCCUCCUCCAACAACUUCAUCUUCUCCAUCAGCCCCGCUACUUUCUCCAUGGCCGCACGGAAACAGCGCACAAGACGGAAACCCUAGACAGGUGUUUUACGAUCGUGUGCCCUAGGGAACACCCGAAAGGCUUAUGGUGGGGGACAGGGUCUCGCAGGGCGGGCAGGGCGCCUCACCGCGGGACGGCGGAAGGGCUCAACCAGCGACCACCGGCGAUCAGAUCUGAACGCACGGGGCGGACGAACAGCGGGAAUCAGGAGGGAGAAUAUCGCCUCCGUAAUCGCCGGACAUACCAACCGUCACCGUACGUGAGACGGACUGUGGUUUGGUGUUAAUCUCUACUCCUAAUGAAGCAGUUGGUAGUCUCCGCCGGUCAAUUUUCGUCCUCAAUCGCACCUUCCAGUUUUGUUGGUUUUUUUGUCGAGUUUUUAUUCGUCCCCGCACGCCCCUCCACCUUCCCUACCCAGGUCGCCGCACACCACCGCCGCCGCCGCCGCCGCGAAUCCCCGGGGACGCCGCACGCCGCCGCCGCCACCGCAAAUCCCCAGGGACGCCGCACGCCGCCGCCGCUGCGAAUCCCCAGGGACGCCGCACGCCACCGCCGUCGUGAAUCACCAGAGACGCCGCUCGCCGCCGCCGCGAAUCCCCAGGGAUGUCGCUGCCACCGCCGCGGAUCCCCAAGGGCGUGGUCGCGUUGCCCUGAUUGGAGGAGACCCUGUCGGCCUUGCCUUGUUUGGAGGACUGUGUGCGUCAAUCCCGACCUCCGCUUUCCCCCUUUUCCAUCAAGGACCGCCGCCGCUGCUUCGUCUUCUAUCUCUGCGGAUCCCCAUCGGCACCUGCUGGAUGGUGCUCCGGGAACAGGGCCGCACGGAGGCCCUCCACCCGUAGGUUGUGCAGACGCGGCGCGCCUUGCAGCGGCUAUUCGGGAUGAGCGCGGGCGCGACAACCUUGUCCCAGUCGACGAUGGUGGCGGCGAAUGCCGGUGCUCCUUCUCGUCCUCUACCUCCAAGGACGCGCACCGGUAUAGCUCAGACACCCCCGUCCCCAAAUCCCGUCCACCCAUCCGGCGUUGUCCAGCUCAUCCUCACGCUCGUGGAUUCGCCUCCUCCUGUACGCGACACUUAAAACGUGGACGUGGUGAGCUUCCCCUCUCUCUACCCCCAAAUCUGGAUGGCACUAGCAUCUGUUACAUACAUACAUAUGGAUAAACAUCUUGGUUGGUUCUUUGGUUCAGUUUGUAUUCAGUCUGUAUGCGUCUGGAUGUGAAUGGCACUUGCAGUAUGCGGCUGCUCCUUGGUUGUCCAUUUGUAUGCGUCCAUAGGUAUGUAAACGGCCGCUCCUUGAUUGUUAUUUUGAACAGAACUCCCCCUUAAUUCUUCCUGUACUGAAAUGAAUCCUUGGAAGCUAGCACUACAUGUCUAUUGUUGCUGUCGUCUUGUACUACAUGGCUUUUUCCUAUUUAAUUUCAGUCAAGUUUAUGUGAAUAUAAUCUCCUUUGAUUUGAUGUUUUGGUCUGACUAUUUACAUUUUAAUUAUCAUGUACGUACUAAUGCAUUCUCAGAUAUUUGGUCGGUGUUAUCUUCUAAAAUAAUAGUAAAUGCAAUCGUUAAAUAGCAGUAGAAGAAGCAUGUCCGCAAACAGAAUUGUACAUUUUCGUUCCUUUGUAGAAGUGUAAUAGAUUAUUUCUUGAAAACACAAAGAUUUCAAGUAUAGCGUCAGAACAAAGAUACAAACUAUAAUUUCAACAUCCGGUAAAUGAUAUAUACAGCGAGUUGGGCGUGUCAAAUGUUGAUGCACAAACAGAAUACAUUGGAUUAAUUAUGUACUUUUUAGAACAGUUCGGAAUACAUAUUGGAAGAACAAAUUAUGUUAUGUUCCCGGCCCAUCUCUUUCUGCUAUCUUGCUGCUGCUGGACCUGGGAGUUUUAGUGGCUAAUAUAAUUUUGACAAUUUUGCUGCAAUAUCUUCAGUUUCUCUAUUGAUUCGGAUAAUUUUGCUGCUCCAAUAGUCUGAAGCAGAACCUCCAUCUUCUAUCUCAACGUCGGCAGCCCGACGGCGCCGACUCCUUAUCGACGCCCGUCGGCGGCCCGGUGAUGCGACCAGAUCACUGCAAAUUGCUCCAUUCAUGUCAGCAGCCUGAUCAGGUUUAUUGUAGAUUGGAGUUGUCCCUUCAGUCUUGAUCAAUAACCAGAUAUUGGCAAGCUUGAGUUAUCCAUGGAUGCAUGGAAAAGAUUAUUCAUUGUUGUGAUAUGCAUAUCUGUAGGAUUAAAUUCAUCUGAAUUAUGAGCUAUGUCACACUUUGCAGAGUACAGAGACUUCAGUUCACAUAAUCUGUUUGUACAUUUGUUGAUGUCAGGUGGAGGUGGUCGUGCUGGCGCCACUGUUUUGCUUCAUGCUGAUGCGGUAUAAAAGUGCCUCCUCGGCAGAUGAGGACCUGAGCGUGGCCAUGCUAAUGAGGAUGCAGGAUCCACCGCCACCGGCCAGUCCGAGUGCGUUGUUGUUUUCAUUCUUUGGGUCCUAGGGAUUUCGAAAUCAGGUGUUCGCCCCUGAUGAUUUCCCGGAGAUAAACUGAUUUCAUUGGCAUCAUCUAUUUCAUUGCCUCACCAAUAUCCAUGUGAGCCUGAGUUGUAAGUGAAUGUACAAAUUGUGUGGAUGUGUUCCUGCAGGUGAUUGCAGAGAACUUGGCAGGCAGAUCAAUUACGAGGAGGUCAAGGCUGAGCUAGAAUGGGGUGGGCGCCAACAUGAAGGAGCUGGAGAUAUCUCUAUUUUUGUCAGUCAUUAUUCAGGCUCUAAGCUUCCCCUUUCCCUAUACCACAUUACUUGAUAUUAUUAAAUUCAGUAUGCUUACUCAACUGUGAACAAGUUCAUGUGGUAAGUAGGAUCAACAAGAGUUGGCUGGCAACUGCUAUGUAUAUGUUAUUAUGGAUCAGCCAAGGUGGUUAAAUUUUAUUUUUUUCCUUUUUCUUAAUUUAUGCCCUUAAGUUUAUGCUGUUAAAUGCAUACACAUAACUUAGUUCCAGAUUUAACAAGAGUACAUUUUACAAUGAACUUCAUAGCUGAUGUUGAUCAUAAUUAGUAAGUGUACAAAGCAUUUCAAGGAAUUUCUGUUUUGUGCAUAUUGUAUAUUGCAGACUUGCAGUGAAGUAGUGCCAUCUAAGUACCAGAUGUAUGUUAUUUUCAAAUAAGCUUUUCUUAAAAUGGAAAAUACUAAAAAGCAAAUUGUGCCACACCGUGCAAUUAAGGUGCCUUUUACUGGAAACUCAAUGCAACUUCUUGUUAUUUUCAAAUAAGCUUUUCUUAAAAUGGAAAAUACUAAAAGGCAGAUUGUGCCACACCGUGCAAUUAAGGUGCCUUUUACUGGAAACUCAAUGCAACUUCUUGUUAUUCCUUCUGAACCUAGCAAUUAAGCCAUAUCUUGUUUUCACUCCUUCUGAACCUAGCAAAAUGACCUGCUUGGACCGAACGAGGACAGGUGUGUGGUGGUGGACAUAAGAUGCACGGCGAACAUUGAGCUACAGAAGAACAUUAUGAAAGGUAUGUACGGUAACUCCAUCCAUGCUUGGCCACACACCAACGUAUGUUUUCCACUGGUGCUAACCUAAACAAAUUCGUUUACUGUGAACUGAACAACGGUGCAUCGUGAUACAGAGGUUGGAGAGGCUGGAGGAGACCAUAUACCAACACAAAGCGCAUCUUGAUGGCCAUCAAUGAGGAGCUGGACCUGCUACACCAGGCUAAUUGCAAGCAUUGGGUACUUUUGUUAGCUAUCAAUUAAAUCUCUUGUCCUGCAAGAACAUGUGUUUAUUUAUGAAAACAUUUUACAUGAGCGUUGUAGGAUGAUUUGGAUGAGAUGACUGAUGAGGACAUGAGCGUUGUCGGAUGAUUUGGACGAGAGGACUGUAGCACGACGCAAUGAAGAGCCAGAUCGUCCGUCCGCUCCCAGCUCACUUCCCAGUUCUGUUGUGCUGCCCCGUGCACCAACCAUCCAGUAAAGGUUCUGAGGUUAACAUCUCUUUUGCAAGUUUCGUAUAACUUUCGUUGUCACUUUAUUAUCUAUUGAUCCACAUGUUUGUAUUUUAACAGACAUGAGUACUUUAUCAUCUUUCCAGGAAGAAAUUACUAGAGAGAAGAAAACUCAGUUUUACAAGUAGUGACAGUCCAACAUCAUAUUGACACAUCUGGUUUCUCUUUCCACAAGCAGGGUCGAGUGGGGUGAUAUACUAGGCGCUUUCUUCUAAAUUGUACAGAAAGUCCACUGAGUUAUUGUUGUUUGUAUGCCACCUUAGAGCGAAAUAGUACUUCUUUUAAUCAUUUUUUAGGUGAAAUACAAGCAUGUAGCUACCUCACUUAAUUAUUGUACUCACUUGAAGUUUAUGUUGAUACAAUGCACUAUUUAAGUAGUAGAGAAACCUCACAAAUUUAAAUUGAUGAAUGAUAUUUAGGAAAAGAAGUAGGCAUGUUUCAUUAUAAAGGGAAAGUCUUUUUCAAGGCAUAGUGUUUAAUUCAUGAAUGGUUAAACAGUUUAACGGGGACCAACACUGGGUAGCAGGGGAGUGGCAGUGCAUAGAGAUAUAGUGAGGGGAGCGGGGGCGAUGAUGGAGGCGGAGAUGUUUAGAGAGAGAUAUAGAGAGUGGGAGGUUCACCAUGGUGCAAUCGAAAACCAAGGCACACCUUGCUAAGACAAGCACACUUUAAAACAUAGCAAUACUCUGCAUUGUUUGAUGUUGGUAUCAGGACCAGGUACCAUGUGAAGCUCAAGGAAUGGUUGUAGAUCAUUAUGGAUAAACUAAAAAAAAAGAUCAUUAUGGAGUACAUUAUAAACGGCAUUUGGUGUCGGCGGCAUGUCACUACCACUGACAAAGUUCUCUGAAACACGAUUACUAUCAUGUACAAUGCUUUACAGUUCUCUCAUAUUCAAAUGCUAAAAUUCUGUAAUUUCAUAUUUAGUAGUUUCUGCGGUGUGAAAUUCAUGUUUUAUUUUGCUUGUGCAGUUGAAAAUAAAUGUUGGCAAAGAUAUUAAAAUUCAAAUCUGGCUUAUUUUUCUCAAUAUGGGUUCAGAAGGAAAUUGUCGUUGAGCUUCUAUCUAAAGGUAUGUCAGAUUAACAGGUUGCUAUCGCAACUCUUGAUUUGGAGUAAUGCAAAGCAACUGUGGAUCUUGUCGUCGGUACAUCUUGGGUUGUUGUUCUUCCAGAACGAAGGAUUUUUUUCCCUAGAUUGUGCUAUGAAAUAAUGCUUGUAUAACGCCUUGAUCUCUUGGCUACACCAUGCUUUCUGGAGAACACUAUACUUACAGAAGAAUGAUGCUUCUAUAGAAUGUGCCACCAUGAGUUCUGUCAGCUCUUUUAAUUUUGUGUUCACUAUGGACGAAUGAACCAUAUAAUUUGUCAAUUUGAUCAGUACUUGCUGAGUGCUUGCUUUCAUGUUGCAAUCUCAGAUUUAGGCACUUCAUAGCCAUAGAUUAAUUUUGAAUUGUUAUGCUCAGUACACCAAAUGUUGUUCCUAGGUAAUGCACUGUUUGCAACUAAGUUUUGUCUUUAAGCACCAAGGUGUAGUAGUAUGCAUUGAAAUAAAUGGAUCAUUUCUAUCUUUCUGGUGCUCAUAAUAGACUUUUUCAUUUUGAAUUUGUAUGCUUGAAAUUUGAUUAUUUCUAUCAACUGAGAGUGGAAAUGAACUGUACCGUAGGCACUUUUUCAUUAGAUUUCAGCAGCGGCUGAUGGCAGCAACCUCAUGGGCCACACAUCCCCUUCUUUAAUUGCAUGCCCUCACAAAAUGGAUGGGGACUUGGUUCUUUGGUUGUCGCCGCCGGACUCAGUGAAGGACGAAAAAUUGAGAUGAUCUAGUGGAGAAUAGAUGCCACGGGCUGAAGAAAGGAGGCGACGGUUUCAGAGCACACACCUUGAAGCGGAGAGGCGGCAAGGGAGUGCGUCUGGAUGGCAAGAGGGAGCGGGACAAGGCAACAUCACAUGGGAGGCAUGGUCAAAAUCGGCGCCGUAGGAGCAAUCGUGCGCGUGGGGGUCGUACCAGGGAGAAGGAAAAGGAUGGUCGGUUUUCUAGGGCUUUUUUCCUUGCAUCGGGAAAUGGGUUUGGUUGAAAAAAACGAUGAUGUGGGGAGGUUAUGCGAGUGGUGGAUACGUGGGUACCAUUUAAUGUACCAAGUGCGCUUUAAUAGUAGAGAUUAAGAUGUUGAUAUUUUAUUCAUUUUCUUCUUAGCUGAACAUUCUUUAAACCAAAAAUCUAUGAAACUUGUAAUGUAUCAUGGUCGCAAUUUGUGAAGUAGAACUAACUAUCCUUUGACCAAAUACCCUUUGACCAUUCAUCAAUUUUUAUGUACUUGUCGCCCGUGACAACAAAUAUGGAUCAAAUAACUAUGCACUAUGGGCACUAAUAUGUUUACCUUCAAAUGGGUUUGUUACUGUGUUUAGUUACUAUGAUGUUUCAUAUGUUCAUCAGAAAAAAUAAAGGCUUAUUUGCUUGCAUGUGCUUUCUCAUGUUUGUUUGUUUUUUCUUCUGGUUGUUCCUUUUCUAUAAUUGUCACAUAAAGUGAACCGAAACUCAUAUUCUAUAUUUCUGCUGUGUAGAUACCCGUGAGCCCGCUGUUGAACUCGCUAAAAAUGGAGAUAGACAUGGAUUUAACGGUUCUCAUUCAUUUAAAUCUUAGUGAAUUGAUACCAGUUUCCAUUUGGAACUGAGAUAACGAGGAAUCGUUUCCUUCAUGAUACUGCAUGUAUGAGCUUUUUUCUUUCGGUCUAGGCCAAUAUUGUACAAAGUUAUUUCCUAAAAUUAUAUUCGAAGGUGUCUUCUAUGAGAGUAACCAUCUCAAUCUUUUUUCUAUAGUUGUCACAAGGUUCUUGUGCUAAAGUAAAGUGAUUUUUGCUUGGUCAAUAUGUUUUCUUCUGAAUAUUUCAAGAAUGAAUUAGUUUAUGCUGCAGUAGUGAGUCACUGUUAAAAAUAGGGAGAAAGGUGUUAUAAGUGAAAAAUUAUGUAGUAUACUUUUAGCUUCCAAACAUUUGUACUUAUGUUCUAUGCCCAUUUUGAUUUGGACAAAUGUUUGGGAAUCACAGUGGUGAAAAGG
This 34645-nucleotide long non-coding RNA is filed under the name Triticum aestivum (bread wheat). Its description in RNAcentral is "long non-coding RNA (TAES_LNC010149)". The record is from RNAcentral. Lineage: Eukaryota; Viridiplantae; Streptophyta; Magnoliopsida; Poales; Poaceae.